GAUGAACGCUGGCCGCGUGCCUAAUACAUGCAAGUCGAGCGAACGGACGAGAAGCUUGCUUCUCUGAUGUUAGCGGCGGACGGGUGAGUAACACGUGGAUAACCUACCUAUAAGACUGGGAUAACUUCGGGAAACCGGAGCUAAUACCGGAUGAUAUUUUGAACCGCAUGGUUCAAAAGUGAAAGACGGUCUUGCUGUCACUUAUAGAUGGAUCCGCGCUGCAUUAGCUAGUUGGUAAGGUAACGGCUUACCAAGGCAACGAUGCAUAGCCGACCUGAGAGGGUGAUCGGCCACACUGGAACUGAGACACGGUCCAGACUCCUACGGGAGGCAGCAGUAGGGAAUCUUCCGCAAUGGGCGAAAGCCUGACGGAGCAACGCCGCGUGAGUGAUGAAGGUCUUCGGAUCGUAAAACUCUGUUAUUAGGGAAGAACAUAUGUGUAAGUAACUGUGCACAUCUUGACGGUACCUAAUCAGAAAGCCACGGCUAACUACGUG
This 497-nucleotide ribosomal RNA is filed under the name uncultured bacterium. RNAcentral describes it as "partial 16S ribosomal RNA". It matches the Rfam family "Bacterial small subunit ribosomal RNA", at positions 28 to 507 of the family's 1533-position model. The record is from RNAcentral.